This 346-nucleotide ribosomal RNA is filed under the name uncultured bacterium. RNAcentral describes it as "partial 16S ribosomal RNA". It matches the Rfam family "Bacterial small subunit ribosomal RNA", at positions 338 to 699 of the family's 1533-position model. The record is from RNAcentral.
CCUACGGGGGGCAGCAGUGGGGAAUAUUGGGCAAUGGGCGCAAGCCUGACCCAGCAACGCCGCGGGAAGGAAGAAGGCUGUCGGGUUGUAAACUUCGUGUGACAGGGAAGAGGAGAAGACGGUACCUGUCGAAUAAGCCACGGCUAACGACGUGCGAGCAGCCGCGGUAAUACGUAGGUGGCAAGCGUUGUCCGGAUUUACGGGGUGGAAAGGGCGUGUAGCCGGGUUGACAAGUCAGAUGUGAAAUCCUGCGGCUUAACCGCAGAACUGCCUUUGAAACUGUUGAUCUUGAGUACUGGAGAGGCAGCCGGACUUCCUAGUGUAGCGGUGAACUGCGUAGCUAUUA